CCUACGGGAGGCAGCAGUAGGGAAUCUUCCACAAUGGACGCAAGUCUGAUGGAGCAACGCCGCGUGAGUGAAGAAGGUUUUCGGAUCGUAAAGCUCUGUUGUUGGUGAAGAAGGAUAGAGGUAGUAACUGGCCUUUAUUUGACGGUAAUCAACCAGAAAGUCACGGCUAACUACGUCCAGCAGCCGCGGUAAU
Molecule: ribosomal RNA, 193 nt
Filed under: uncultured Lactobacillus sp.
Lineage: Bacteria; Bacillati; Bacillota; Bacilli; Lactobacillales; Lactobacillaceae
Description: partial 16S ribosomal RNA
Rfam family: Bacterial small subunit ribosomal RNA
Source: RNAcentral